AGAGUUUGAUCAUGGCUCAGAGUGAGCGCUGGCGGUAGGCCUAACACAUGCAAGUCGAACGGCAGCACAGUAAGAGCUUGCUCUUAUGGGUGGCGAGUGGCGGACGGGUGAGGAAUACAUCGGAAUCUACCUUUUCGUGGGGGAUAACGUAGGGAAACUUACGCUAAUACCGCAUACGACCUUCGGGUGAAAGCAGGGGACCUUCGGGCCUUGCGCGGAUAGAUGAGCCGAUGUCGGAUUAGCUAGUUGGCGGGGUAAAGGCCCACCAAGGCGACGAUCCGUAGCUGGUCUGAGAGGAUGAUCAGCCACACUGGAACUGAGACACGGUCCAGACUCCUACGGGAGGCAGC
RNAcentral lists this ribosomal RNA (350 nucleotides) under uncultured bacterium. Its description in RNAcentral is "bacterial SSU rRNA". It matches the Rfam family "Bacterial small subunit ribosomal RNA", at positions 8 to 352 of the family's 1533-position model. The record is from RNAcentral.